AUAUGAUAUAAUAAGAAGGUAGAAGUUUAUGGACGGUAGCCUUCGGAGGUGAUGCUUAUGGUAAUUUUAUCGUGAGCUGGCCUCACAAAAACGAAAGGCGACAAUUUUUGUCGAUAUAUGAAACACUCUCAUUGAUGAUUGCAUUUGCGUUAUUAAUGAUUACAGUGGUUAAUAA
Molecule: small RNA, 175 nt
Filed under: Lactococcus garvieae
Lineage: Bacteria; Bacillati; Bacillota; Bacilli; Lactobacillales; Streptococcaceae
Description: Listeria sRNA rli28
Rfam family: Listeria sRNA rli28
Source: RNAcentral